GACGAACGCUGGCGGCGUGCUUCAUACAUGCAAGUCGAACGAGAAGCUGACUUCGGUCAGUGGAAAGUGGCGGACGGGUGCGUAAUAUGUAGGAAAUCUGCCUUUAGGAGGGGGACAACAGAGGGAAACUUCUGCUAAUACCCCAUAUGAGCGUAGCUGAAAUGCUAUUCUUGAAAACUCCGGUGCCUAAAGAUGAGCCUGCAUCUGAUUAGCUAGUUGGUAGUGUAAUGGACUACCAAGGCGACGAUCAGUAGCUGGUUUGAGAGGAUGAUCAGCCACAAUGGGACUGAGACACGGCCCAUACUCCUACGGGAGGCAGCAGUAGGGAAUUUUGCGCAAGGGGCGAAAGCCUGACGCAGCAACGCCGCGUGAACGAUUAAGCCCUUCGGGGUGUAAAGUUCUGUCAGUGGGGACGAAACUUGACGGUACCCACAGAGGAAGCACCGGCUAACUCCGUG
This 458-nucleotide ribosomal RNA is filed under the name uncultured bacterium. RNAcentral describes it as "partial 16S ribosomal RNA". It matches the Rfam family "Bacterial small subunit ribosomal RNA", at positions 28 to 507 of the family's 1533-position model. The record is from RNAcentral.